Molecule: ribosomal RNA, 484 nt
Filed under: uncultured bacterium
Lineage: Bacteria
Description: partial 16S ribosomal RNA
Rfam family: Bacterial small subunit ribosomal RNA
Source: RNAcentral
GACGAACGCUGGCGGCGUGCUUAACACAUGCAAGUCGAACGAUGAACCAGGAGCUUGCUCCGGCGGAUUAGUGGCGAACGGGUGAGUAACACGUGAGUAACCUGCCCUUGACUCUGGGAUAACUGCUAGAAAUGGUAGCUAAUACCGGAUACGACCCUCGGUGGCAUCUCCAGGGGGUGGAAAGAAUUUCGGUCAAGGAUGGACUCGCGGCCUAUCAGCUAGUUGGUGAGGUAACGGCGCACCAAGGCGACGACGGGUAGCCGGCCUGAGAUGGAGACCGGCCACACGGGGAAUGAGACACCGCCCAGACUCCUACGGGAGGCAGCAGUGGGGAAUAUUGCAAAAUGGGCGCAAGCCUGAUGCAGCAACGCCGCGUGAGGGAUGACGGCCUUCGGGUUGUAAACCUCUUUUAGUAGGGAAGAAGCGAAAGUGACGGUACCUGCAGAAAAAGCACCGGCUAACUACGUGCCAGCCGCCGCCGGAA